Molecule: unclassified non-coding RNA, 330 nt
Filed under: soil metagenome
Description: partial contains 5.8S ribosomal RNA, internal transcribed spacer 2, and large subunit ribosomal RNA
Rfam family: 5.8S ribosomal RNA (bases 1-120)
Source: RNAcentral
GAUGAAGAACGCAGCGAAAUGCGAUAAGUAAUGUGAAUUGCAGAAUUCAGUGAAUCAUCGAAUCUUUGAACGCACAUUGCGCCCCCUGGUAUUCCGGGGGGCAUGCCUGUUCGAGCGUCAUUUCACCACUCAAGCCUCGCUUGGUAUUGGGCAACGCGGUCCGCCGCGUGCCUCAAAUCGACCGGCUGGGUCUUCUGUCCCCUAAGCGUUGUGGAAACUUUCGCUAAAGGGUGUUCGGGAGGCUACGCCGUAAAACAACCCCAUGUCUAAGGUUGACCUCGGAUCAGGUAGGGAUACCCGCUGAACUUAAGCAUAUCAAUAAGCGGAGGA